RNAcentral lists this ribosomal RNA (211 nucleotides) under Giardia duodenalis. RNAcentral's name for it is "Giardia intestinalis partial small subunit ribosomal RNA". The record is from RNAcentral. Lineage: Eukaryota; Fornicata; Diplomonadida; Hexamitidae.
CAUCCGGUCGAUCCUGCCGGAAUCGGACGCUCUCCCCAAGGACACAAGCCAUGCAUGCCCGCACACCCGGGAAGCGGCGGACGGCUCAGGACAACGGUUGCACCCCCCGCGGCGGUCCCUGCUAGCCGGACACCGCUGGCAACCCGGCGCCAAGACGUGCGCGCAAGUGCGGACGCCCGCGGGCGAGCAGCGUGACGCAGCGACGGCCCGC